AUAAACCCUUCAACAUCAAACCUCAUGCCCACCGGUGUUAACCUCCACACACUCUCUCCCACACCAUAAACAACACCGCCACCACAUUUUUUGAGUCAAACGAAAGAAUUUAAAAUCCCAUUUUUUUAGCAAAAUUUCGACGACAACAGUUGAAGGGAAAGGAAGAAAGAUCUUCAAAAGUUGGAUUUUUGAUGUUCAGUAGUAGAUAGUUAAUGGAGAAGAGAAGAUGAAGAACUAUCAAGAAUUUUGGAGCAUUCUACCGUAAUUUGUUUGUGGGAGUUAGAAAUAAAAAUUAAGUGCAGAUGUGCUCAGUUAAUCAUAAUUUUUUUUCUUUGAGGCGAGUUAGUCAUGAGAUUUUUAAUUUUUAAAAAAUUGAAUUCAUAAUAUGGUUUGAGAACUGCAUUCAAAAUCGACGGUUUAUUUUGUAUGUGAUGUGUUUUGUGUGUUUCUUAUUCCAAUUUAAGUAGGUAGGUGGAUGAGUGAGAAUAUUGUAGAUAUUAAGUAAUUGUCGACGUUUCUCUC
Beta vulgaris subsp. vulgaris (sugar beet) is the source of this 522-nucleotide long non-coding RNA. RefSeq lists it as uncharacterized. NCBI's taxonomy places the organism in Eukaryota, Viridiplantae, Streptophyta, Magnoliopsida, Caryophyllales, Amaranthaceae. The transcript has 2 exons. The record is from RefSeq and is a predicted model, not a curated record.